This 370-nucleotide transfer-messenger RNA is filed under the name Bullifex porci. It matches the Rfam family "transfer-messenger RNA". From Rfam's summary of the family: Bacterial tmRNA, also known as 10Sa RNA or SsrA, is named for its dual tRNA and mRNA-like properties. Lineage: Bacteria; Pseudomonadati; Spirochaetota; Spirochaetia; Spirochaetales; Spirochaetaceae. The record is from RNAcentral.
GGGGAUGUCUCUGGUUUCGACUGGUGGCGGACCACUUCUAAGACUGCGGUCCAAGCGCUAACUUGUUAAACUGGCACAAAAAAAUAAAUGCAAAGAAAGAAGACGAAGUAUUCGUUUCUGACGAAGCAGAAUUACUUGCAGCGUGAGUUGUAAGACCCACUUUUGAGGGUGCUGUUCCUAACUCGAGAUUGUGGUUGCCAAUAGGGACUUGUUCGUUUUAGGCUGACAUAAAACGAAGACUCUUAGUCAGCUGGAGAUAAAAAGGUUGGAUACAUUACCGUUUUUAUCUCAAGAUCCAAAAAUGUGACUACGGCCGUAGACGUUUUAGGAUGGCACAUCAGGACGGGAGUUCGAAUCUCCCCAUCUCCAU